AUACGUAGGGGGCAAGCGUUGUCCGGAAUUACUGGGCGUAAAGCGCACGCAGGCUGACUUAUAAGUCGGUAGUCUAAUGCGGAGGCUCAACUUCCGUUUAUCUAUCGAUACUGUAAAUCUGGAGUAUGUGAGAGGGAAGCGGAAUUCCCGGUGUCGCGGUGAAAUGCGUAGAUAUCGGGAGGAACACCAGUGGCGAAGGCGGCUUCCUGGCACAAUACUGACGCUCAUGUGCGAAAGCUAGGGCAGCGAACGGGAUUAGAUACCCCGGUAGUCCUAGCCGUAAACGAUGGAUACUAGGUGUGGGUGUCGCAGGGCAUCCGUGCCGCAGUUAACGCGUUAAGUAUCCCGCCUGGGGACUACGGUCGCAAGACUGAAACUCAAAUGAAUUGACGGGG
This 395-nucleotide ribosomal RNA is filed under the name uncultured bacterium. RNAcentral's name for it is "partial 16S ribosomal RNA". It matches the Rfam family "Bacterial small subunit ribosomal RNA", at positions 523 to 918 of the family's 1533-position model. The record is from RNAcentral.